This 243-nucleotide ribosomal RNA is filed under the name uncultured bacterium. RNAcentral's name for it is "partial 16S ribosomal RNA". It matches the Rfam family "Bacterial small subunit ribosomal RNA", at positions 68 to 339 of the family's 1533-position model. The record is from RNAcentral.
GAGGUAGCAAUACCUAGCGGCAGACGGGUGCGUAACAUGUGGGAAUCUGCCUUUUGGUUCGGAAUAACACGAGGAAACUUGUGCUAAUACCGGAUAAGUCCUAACGGAGAAAGUUUUAAUGCCAAAAGAUGAGCCCGCAUUUGAUUAGUUUGUUGGUGAGGUAAUGGCUCACCAAGGCGAUAAUCAAUAGCUGAUUUGAGAGGAUGAUCAGCCACACUGGGACUGAGAUACGGCCCAGACUCC